CGGGCGCUGUCCGAUGCGUCAGGCAGCACACUCCCGGGGGCGAUAUCAUUCUGAAGGGAGCUGUCCCUGACCGGACCGUGGUCCGGUCACAUGGCACCCACAUCGUGCUCGCGGCCCAUAGGGAUUCGCAGAACCAACGGUCGGCAUGGCCCCGCA
Molecule: non-coding RNA, 156 nt
Filed under: Pararhodospirillum photometricum DSM 122
Lineage: Bacteria; Pseudomonadati; Pseudomonadota; Alphaproteobacteria; Rhodospirillales; Rhodospirillaceae
Description: 6S / SsrS RNA
Rfam family: 6S / SsrS RNA
About the family: E. coli 6S RNA was the first non coding RNA to be sequenced, but its function was unknown until recently. It consists of 184 nucleotides that fold into an extended hairpin structure with a large single-stranded internal bulge.
Source: Rfam by way of RNAcentral